CCACAUACGCAUCCUUUGCUGAGGAUACGGUUAACGGAGCGAAAGCGACGUUCAACCGCAAAAGAAGCAGAGGGGGCUUAGUGGUGGGGUGACUGCGUACCUUUUGUAUAAUGGGUCAGCGACUUAUAUUCUGUAGCAAGGUUAACCGAAUAGGGGAGCCGGAGGGAAACCGAGUCUUAACCGGGCGUUAAGUUGCAGGGUAUAGACCCGAAACCCGGUGAUCUAGCCAUGGGCAGGUUGAAGGUUGGGUAACACUAACUGGAGGACCGAACCGACUAAUGUUGAAAAAUUAGCGGAUGACCUGUGGCUGGGGGUGAAAGGCCAAUCAAACCGGGAGAUAGCUGGUUCUCCCCGAAAGCUAUUUAGGUAGCGCCUCGUGAAUUCAUCUCCGGGGGUAGAGCACUGUUUCGGCUAGGGGGCCAUCCCGGCUUACCAACCCGAUGCAAACUGCGAAUACCGGAGAAUGUUAUCACGGGAGACACACGGCGGGUGCUAACGUCCGUCGUGAAGAGGGAAACAACCCAGACCGCCAGCUAAGGUCCCAAAGUCAUGGUUAAGUGGGAAACGAUGUGGGAAGGCCCAGACAGCCAGGAUGUUGGCUUAGAAGCAGCCAUCAUUUAAAGAAAGCGUAAUAGCUCACUGGUCGAGUCGGCCUGCGCGGAAGAUGUAACGGGGCUAAACCAUGCACCGAAGCUGCGGCAGCGAACGUAUCACUUAAAGCGAUUCAGCGGGUUACGAUUGACGGAGCGAAGCGACGUCAAAGCGUAUACAAAGUCGAGUCGGUUUA
RNAcentral lists this ribosomal RNA (787 nucleotides) under Salmonella enterica subsp. enterica serovar Dublin. RNAcentral's name for it is "partial 23S ribosomal RNA". It matches the Rfam family "Bacterial large subunit ribosomal RNA", at positions 568 to 1289 of the family's 2925-position model. Lineage: Bacteria; Pseudomonadati; Pseudomonadota; Gammaproteobacteria; Enterobacterales; Enterobacteriaceae. The record is from RNAcentral.